RNAcentral lists this ribosomal RNA (484 nucleotides) under uncultured bacterium. Its description in RNAcentral is "partial 16S ribosomal RNA". It matches the Rfam family "Bacterial small subunit ribosomal RNA", at positions 28 to 523 of the family's 1533-position model. The record is from RNAcentral.
GACGAACGCUGGCGGCGUGCUAAACACAUGCAAGUCGAACGAUGAACCCGGAGCUUGCUCCGGCGGAUUAGUGGCGAACGGGUGAGUAACACGUGAGUAACCUGCCCUUGACUCUGGAAUAACUGCUAGAAAUGGUAGCUAAUACCGGAUACGACCCUCGGUGGCAUCACCAGGGGGUGGAAAGAAUUUCGGUCAAGGAUGGACUCGCGGCCUAUCAGCUAGUUGGUGAGGUAACGGCUCACCAAGGCGACGACGGGUAGCCGGCCUGAGAGGGUGACCGGCCACACUGGGACUGAGACACGGCCCAGACUCCUACGGGAGGCAGCAGUGGGGAAUAUUGCACAAUGGGCGCAAGCCUGAUGCAGCAACGCCGCGUGAGGGAUGACGGCCUUCGGGUUGUAAACCUCUUUUAGUAGGGAAGAAGCGAAAGUGACGGUACCUGCAGAAAAAGCACCGGCUAACUACGUGCCAGCCGCCGCGGUAA